Molecule: ribosomal RNA, 254 nt
Filed under: uncultured bacterium
Lineage: Bacteria
Description: partial 16S ribosomal RNA
Rfam family: Bacterial small subunit ribosomal RNA
Source: RNAcentral
UACGUAGGGUGCGAGCGUUGUCCGGAAUUAUUGGGCGUAAAGAGCUCGUAGGCGGUGUGUCACGUCGGCCGUGAAAGCCUGCAGCUUAACUGUGGGCGUGCGGUCGAUACGGGCAUCACUGGAGUUCGGCAGGGGAGACUGGAAUUCCUGGUGUAGCGGUGAAAUGCGCAGAUAUCUGGAGGAACACCGGUGGCGAAGGCGGCAUCCUGGACCGAGAUUGACGCUGAGGCGCGAAAGCCAGGGGAGCAAACGGG